AUUGAACGCUGGCGGCAGGCCUAACACAUGCAAGUCGAACGAGUGGCGGACGGGUGAGUAAUGUCUGGGAAACUGCCCGUAGGAGGGGGAAAACUUCUGGAAACGGUAGCUAAUAACGCAUACCAUCGGAUGUGCCCAGAUGGGGUUGGCUAGUAGGUGGGGUAACGGCUCACCUAGGCGACGAUCCCUAGCUGGUCUGCGAGGCUGACCAGCCACACUGGAACUGAGACACGGUCCAGCCUCCUACGGGAGGCAGCAUUGGGGAAUAUUGCACAAUGUGCGCAGUCCUGAUGCAGCCCUGCCGCGUGUAUGAAGAAGGCCUUCGGUUUGUAAAGUACUUUCAGCGAGGAGGCGUUACUCGCAGAGGAAGCACCGGCUAACUCCGUGCCAGCCGCCGCGGUAAUUC
This 406-nucleotide ribosomal RNA is filed under the name uncultured bacterium. Its description in RNAcentral is "partial 16S ribosomal RNA". It matches the Rfam family "Bacterial small subunit ribosomal RNA", at positions 30 to 526 of the family's 1533-position model. The record is from RNAcentral.